Molecule: long non-coding RNA, 345 nt
Filed under: Struthio camelus australis
Lineage: Eukaryota; Metazoa; Chordata; Aves; Struthioniformes; Struthionidae
Description: lncRNA (ENSSCUG00000013603.1)
Source: RNAcentral
GGAAGAAGUGUUUUACAACCAAAUUCAUAUUAGCCUUUGAAUGAAAAGCAGAAUCCAUGGAACAUCAAGACCGGCAGAGGAGGAUCCCUAAGGCAGUUUCAUUUGCCAAUGAAGACAUGAACCAUCUGAUCUUUUCAGACCAAAUUCCCUCUCUUCCAUCCUACAUUGCAGCUCCCUGUUGUACGUCCUGCGCGCGCCUCGUCCUGUGAUUCCAGCAGAUCACAAGGAGCGUCACUGGGGGCUCUGCUGAUUGACACCACUCAAGCUCACGGCUCGGUCACCAGCCUUACCCUAAGAGGUGAGCAGCGCAUGCUAACGCACGUGGCUUGGAAAACGGGGGAGGCU